This 838-nucleotide long non-coding RNA is filed under the name Triticum aestivum (bread wheat). Its description in RNAcentral is "long non-coding RNA (TAES_LNC023404)". The record is from RNAcentral. Lineage: Eukaryota; Viridiplantae; Streptophyta; Magnoliopsida; Poales; Poaceae.
UAAAAAAUAUGAAUAACAGAGAUACAUUAUGUAAACGUGCUGACUCAGGCAAAAGAUGUAAACCUCAUAUUUAAAGAUGUUCAGACACAAGCAAGAAAACAUAGGCAAUAUGCAGAUAAUAAACUAUCCAAAAGGAGAAUCCUGCUGAUUUGCUGAGUUGGACAGACUAUACUGGGUAAUGCAGAGCAGACACAAAGCACUGGACCUUUGUUCUCUUAAUUUUCAGGAAACCUAAGCCGUGCUACAACCAACGCACAUUUAGGCACAGACCAGCACUACUUAAACAAGCACUGGGAAGGGGGGAGCACACAAGAAGAAGAAAAAGGUUGUACCAGCAAUACCGAAAACAUUUUUCCAACACUGCCACAAGCUGAGAAAAUAUAUAGGUCUAGAUUAUCUUGUGAAGAUUCCAACUCCUGCCUGACCUGACGAUGGAUUCUGCACACAUACUGAUAAUCGACCUUGGACUUGUAAUGCUGUGUGAUCGAAGUAGUUAGAGCAUCGCUACAAGAUCAAGAACAUAGAUAGACAGAUUAGUAGAGUACAUGCAUACUCUCCAGAAUCCAUCAUAAAGAUUUGACAGGUUAAAAGAGCUAAGUAGUGGAGUUGAUUUGAUUAGUGACCUGACCCUCCUGUCCUGGUCAGGGCAAAUGUGAAGCUUAAACUUGCUACCUGCGUAGUUGCCGAGCUGCCAGCGACGCGCCGCCGGAGCCUCCCCUCGACGCGCCGCUCCUCCACGGCAAAGAACAGCGCUCGCCUGGCGGCCGUCGUCGGCUCGGUCGCCUACUCCGAUGCAUCGCCAGAUCUCGAGCUGCCCCGCAUUCCUCCCAGCGGUGGC